CCUACGGGAGGCAGCAGUGAGGAAUAUUGGUCAAUGGGCGCGAGCCUGAACCAGCCAAGUCGCGUGCGGGAAGACGGUCCUAUGGAUUGUAAACCUCUUUUGUCGGGGAGCAAAAGACGCCACGCGUGGCGUUCCGAGAGUACCCGAAGAAAAAGCAUCGGCUAACUCCGUGCCAGCAGCCGCGGUAAUACGGAGGAUGCGAGCGUUAUCCGGAUUUAUUGGGUUUAAAGGGUGCGCAGGCGGAAUAUCAAGUCAGCGGUAAAAUUGAGGGGCUCAACCUGUUCGAGCCGUUGAAACUGGUGUUCUUGAGUGUGUGAGAGGUAUGCGGAAUGCGUGGUGUAGCGGUGAAAUGCAUAGAUAUCACGCAGAACUCCGAUUGCGAAGGCAGCAUACCGGCGCUCAACUGACGUUCAUGCACGAAAGUGUGGGUAUCGAACAGGAUUAGAUACCCCUGUAGUC
RNAcentral lists this ribosomal RNA (459 nucleotides) under uncultured bacterium. Its description in RNAcentral is "partial 16S ribosomal RNA". It matches the Rfam family "Bacterial small subunit ribosomal RNA", at positions 338 to 795 of the family's 1533-position model. The record is from RNAcentral.